RNAcentral lists this long non-coding RNA (312 nucleotides) under Manihot esculenta (cassava). Its description in RNAcentral is "long non-coding RNA (MESC_LNC003403)". The record is from RNAcentral. Lineage: Eukaryota; Viridiplantae; Streptophyta; Magnoliopsida; Malpighiales; Euphorbiaceae.
GUCCACAUCUGAAACAUGUGUUAGUCCCAGCUCGACACACUCCCCUGUGUGGUCUUCCACAUCUCUGGCAUUCUGUACCAUCUGAGCCUGAGCUCGAGCCACCGCCAAAUCCCAGACCGGAUUUCAACUUGUUCCAAAACUUAUUCUUCUUCGGCUUCCUGGUGGUGUUAUCCCACCUCUUCUUCCCUGAGCUCUGAGAAGAGAACCCUGGUCCUCCUCUGCCUGGGGUCUUAACCCCUGAAGACUGGGUCACUGACUGCUUCACUGACCCCUCAACUAUAGCACUCGCUUCCAUCCUUCGAGCCAUAUCCA